UGCGUAGGGCGUGUUUCAUCACGAUAUUUGGAAAGCUCACGCCCUUUAGGCGGGCGGUGCGCACGUAUUGUGCUGUCAUAACUUCGGUCAUAGAGGCGCGGGUCAUGCGGGCGAUGUAGCCCAUGCCGUAAAGCGCGAUCGUUAUGACGGGUAAGAAGAAGUUAUUGAACGUUAUGUCA
Molecule: non-coding RNA, 179 nt
Filed under: Octadecabacter temperatus
Lineage: Bacteria; Pseudomonadati; Pseudomonadota; Alphaproteobacteria; Rhodobacterales; Roseobacteraceae
Description: Ruegeria cis52 sRNA
Rfam family: Ruegeria cis52 sRNA
About the family: Cis-encoded.
Source: Rfam by way of RNAcentral